GGCCAAGUUUUUAAGGGCGCACGGUGGAUGCCUUGGCACCAGGAACCGAUGAAGGACGUGGGAGGCCGCGAUAGUCCCCGGGGAGUCGUCAACCAGGCUUUGAUCCGGGGGUUUCCGAAUGGGGAAACCCGGCAGUCGUCAUGGGCUGUCACCCGCUGCUGAACACAUAGGCAGUGUGGAGGGAACGCGGGGAAGUGAAACAUCUCAGUACCCGCAGGAAGAGAAAACAACCGUGAUUCCGGGAGUAGUGGCGAGCGAAACCGGAUGAGGCCAAACCUACGACGUGUGAGACCCGGCAGGGGUUGCGUCGUGGGGGUUGUGGGAUCUCUCUUCCACGGUCUGCCGGCCGUGGGACGAGUCAGAAACCGUUGAUGUAGGCGAAGGACAUGCGAAAGGUCCGGCGUAGAGGGUAAGACCCCCGUAGUCGAAACGUCAGCGGCUCGUUUGAGAGACACCCAAGUAGCACGGGGCCCGAGAAAUCCCGUGUGAAUCUGGCGGGACCACCCGCUAAGCCUAAAUAUUCCCUGGUGACCGAUAGCGGAUAGUACCGUGAGGGAAUGGUGAAAAGUACCGCGGGAGCGGAGUGAAAUAGUACCUGAAACCGUGUGCCUACAAGCCGUGGGAGCGUCGGA
RNAcentral lists this ribosomal RNA (632 nucleotides) under Streptomyces sp. CSDS2. Its description in RNAcentral is "partial 23S ribosomal RNA". It matches the Rfam family "Bacterial large subunit ribosomal RNA", at positions 1 to 586 of the family's 2925-position model. Lineage: Bacteria; Bacillati; Actinomycetota; Actinomycetes; Kitasatosporales; Streptomycetaceae. The record is from RNAcentral.